UACAGAGGGUGCAAGCGUUGUUCGGAAUUACUGGGCGUAAAGCGCGUGUAGGCGGCGCGGUAAGUCCUGUGUGAAAGCCCCGGGCUCAACCCGGGAAGUGCGCAGGAUACUGCAGUGCUUGAGUGACGGAGAGGAUGGCGGAAUACCCGGUGUAGAGGUGGAAUGCGUAGAGAUCCGGAAGAACACCGGUGGCGAAAGCGGCUUCCUGGCCCGACACUGACGCUCAUGUACGAAAGCGUGGGGAGCAAACAGG
RNAcentral lists this ribosomal RNA (253 nucleotides) under uncultured bacterium. RNAcentral's name for it is "partial 16S ribosomal RNA". It matches the Rfam family "Bacterial small subunit ribosomal RNA", at positions 524 to 776 of the family's 1533-position model. The record is from RNAcentral.